UGGGGGAAUAUUGGGCAAUGGGCGCAAGCCUGACCCAGCAACGCCGCGUGAAGGAAGAAGGCUUUCGGGUUGUAAACUUCUUUUGUCAGGGACGAGGAGAAGACGGUACCUGGCGAAUAAGCCACGGCUAACUACGUGCCAGCAGCCGCGGUAAUACGUAGGUGGCAAGCGUUGUCCGGAUUUACUGGGUGUAAAGGGCGCGCAGGCGGGGGAGCAAGUCAGCUGUGAAAUCUAUGGGCUUAACCCAUAAACUGCAGUUGAAACUGUUCUUCUUGAGUGAAGUAGAGGUUGGCGGAAUUCCGAGUGUAGCGGUGAAAUGCGUAGAUAUUCGGAGGAACACCGGUGGCGAAGGCGGCCAACUGGGCUUUUACUGACGCUGAGGCUCGAAAGUGUGGGGAGCAAACAGGAUUAGAUACCCUGGUAGU
Molecule: ribosomal RNA, 425 nt
Filed under: uncultured Eubacterium sp.
Lineage: Bacteria; Bacillati; Bacillota; Clostridia; Eubacteriales; Eubacteriaceae
Description: bacterial SSU rRNA
Rfam family: Bacterial small subunit ribosomal RNA
Source: RNAcentral